Molecule: long non-coding RNA, 1862 nt
Organism: Scophthalmus maximus (turbot)
Lineage: Eukaryota; Metazoa; Chordata; Actinopteri; Pleuronectiformes; Scophthalmidae
Exons: 3
Source: RefSeq, a predicted model, not a curated record
CAGGUCCUGGACGGCGUCCAGGUUCCUCGGGCCUCCGUCCGAGUCCAGCUGGGCGGCCAAGAGGAACAGCUUCCUGUCCGGGCUCAGCGAGCCCAGAGACAAGGCCUCGCGGAGCUCGGACACGCCCGCGGCACCGGGCUGGUCCUGACGAAGAGCAGGGCAACACCUUCAGCUCUUGACCUUCAACCGUCCCAACACACGACCCGCUGAACGGCCCCAUUUUGAGACAUAUCUUUUGGGGCUAAAUCAUGGAUGACCGCGGGCAGAUGAGGCUCCGCCCUCAGGAGGCGGUGCAGCUCCGCCUUGGCCAAUGGGAGGCGGCCCCUGUCAGCGGAGUCCAGCACGUACACCAGGACGUGAGUCCUCCGCAGGAAUCUGUGAGAUUCAGCUGAAGUUCCUGUUGUUACCAUCGUCAGACAUGAGGGAGAAUUAAUUCAAUUACUUGUAUUGCAUGUUUUUAAUUUGAAUCGAUGCUGCGUGUUGAAAUGAUACGAAGUCCUGACGCGAACACUCCGAACACGGGAGCUCCUCGUCAUCGACUGGUGACACGGACGGAACGAUGGACCGACGUGGACCGUCAGUCGUAGUGUGAAUGGAAACACGGAAAAUAUGUCCAAGUGUUUCGACAGUGUGAGGAAGAUGAUUCUUUUUCGUACUUUUGUAGUCGGACGUAUGUUCUCGUGUUGUCCGUACGUCCCCUCUUGAAAACAUGAUAUCUUGGGAACGACGCGAGGGAACAUCUGCGAACUUGGUUCAAACUUCAUGACAAAGUUUAACACAAAUGUCUAAUCAGAUAAAAUGAGUAAGUGAUGAUUCACUGAUCAUAUUUCCUGCAACGUGACUGGAUGGUGAAAACAACCGCUCAGUUCAACGAGGUUGUAUUGACCGAGGAGUUGGUGCAUUCAAGGACCAACAGAACUGAUAUAAUGUUCUUUCAUUCAUCCGUACAAAGAUUCUGUUGUGGCGAGGUCGGCGACAGAGAGACGUCCUCGCAGCCUCGACUGAUGUUUCCAUCCUCCGAUGAAUGGAAAGAGCCUUUGAAACAAUCGGACCACAGAUUCAUUUCUGAUGUUCACCAGACGGAAUGAAAUCACUAAUCGAGUUUUCACUGAGGGAUGAAAUAGGCGGCGGCGGCUCUUAUUGAUAACCACGCUGCUUCUCUGCCGCGGGGGAAAUUGCUCUGAUUCGUUUUUUCUUGUCUUGUUGCCUCCAGACACGAAAUGUCAACGAGGCUCGGAGCAAAACUACAUUCAUACAAUAUACAAUCUGCUUUUCUUUGUACUCGUUUUCUCUUUUCUUGGUGCUUUUUUUCUUUUCAGAGACUCGUAAUAUUCUUUAUUUUUCACUAGUUCUUCUUCUCUUGUCACUCAUGUAGUCUUUCUGCUUCUGCAUUAGAACUGAGGGAGAGUUUGCUGUUGGAGGCAUAUUUCAUUUUUGGCUGAAUUCCUCCGUUUGUUUGGUCACAAAAAAAUGUGCAGUACGAAAUCCACCGUGAUUAAAAGACGGAGGAGUCGGUGUGAGAGCUGCUGGUUGUCGGAGGAGUUCGAGUCGUGUUCCAACCAGCUACAGAUCGACUCAGAACCAAACAGUCACCAGCUGCAGAGAAAGGGAACGUUUCCUAGUAACCGAGAGGUUUCACAUCCCACAAUGCAGCGGUGCAGAGGAUCUGACCUUCAGGUUGGACUUCAGGUCCGCUCCGCCGCCCAACUCAGCUCAGCGCAGCGAGAAUUCAUUAGUGCCGGAGCUCAUGGAGAAUGUUGCUAGGAAACUGGGAGGUGAUGUCGCUGCGUCUGAUGUGAUGUGGCGCUAAACGCGUAUUUACGUGGCGUUGGUACAGAGGCCGGACCCGCCGCUGAGGGGUC